RNAcentral lists this ribosomal RNA (250 nucleotides) under uncultured bacterium. Its description in RNAcentral is "partial 16S ribosomal RNA". It matches the Rfam family "Bacterial small subunit ribosomal RNA", at positions 524 to 773 of the family's 1533-position model. The record is from RNAcentral.
UACGGAGGGUGCAAGCGUUGUCCGGAAUCACUGGGCGUAAAGGGCGCGUAGGCGGCUCAUUAAGUGGCUGGUGAAAUCCCGGGGCUCAACUCCGGGGCUGCCGGUCAGACUGGUGGGCUCGAGCACGGUAGAGGCGGAUGGAAUUCCCGGUGUAGCGGUGGAAUGCGUAGAGAUCGGGAAGAAUACCGGUGGCGAAGGCGUUCCGCUGGGCCGUUGCUGACGCUGAGGCGCGACAGCGUGGGGAGCAAAC